Molecule: ribosomal RNA, 497 nt
Filed under: uncultured bacterium
Lineage: Bacteria
Description: partial 16S ribosomal RNA
Rfam family: Bacterial small subunit ribosomal RNA
Source: RNAcentral
GAUGAACGCUGGCGGCGUGCCUAAUACAUGCAAGUCGAGCGAACGGACGAGAAGCUUGCUUCUCUGAUGUUAGCGGCGGACGGGUGAGUAACACGUGGAUAACCUACCUAUAAGACUGGGAUAACUUCGGGAAACCGUAGCUAAUACCGGAUAAUAUUUUGAACCGCAUGGUUCAAAAGUGAAAGACGGUCUUGCUGUCACUUAUAGAUGGAUCCGCGCUGCAUUAGCUAGUUGGUAAGGUAACGGCUUACCAAGGCAACGAUGCGUAGCCGACCUGAGAGGGUGAUCAGCCACACUGGAACUGAGACACGGUCCAGACUCCUACGGGAGGCAGCAGUAGGGAAUCUUCCGCAAUGGGCGAAAGCCUGACGGAGCAACGCCGCGUGAGUGAUGAAGGUCUUCGGAUCGUAAAACUCUGUUAUUGGGGAAGAACAGAUGUGUAAGUAACUGUGCACGUCUUGACGGUACCUAAUCAGAAAGCCACGGCUAACUACGUG